GCGUGUUUAUUUCUAUGUAUGUUUCUGUAGGUCUUGUCAAAUCCCAGCUUCCGCCUGCAGUGACACCGCGGAUCUGUACUUGAUGCAUACGGACCGGCGGUGACACAUUGCGGAUCUUAGUGGAGCGGAAUCUCUUUAGUUUUUUUUCCGGAGCGGCUCUGCGCAAGUAAAGAGACGAACCGGGCCAACAUGGAUGAAGCUUUCAUUCUCUUUGAUGGAGAGAGAGCUAAAAAGGUGGGCGUGAGCUCAGUGAGUGGCGUGGCGAGCAGGUGUUGCCUAUCGGUAAUCAGAAAGGUGGGAGCAAUCUGAUCAUCUACCUUUCCCUCACCAUAAAAGCGGGGCAUUGCCAUCAGUUGUCGCCGGAUCGUCAAACAACCCAUUUGGAUCCCGCCUGCCUGCUGUCCAGCUUACCUCCUCCAUUCCCACCUGAUUCUGCAUCGCUCCUGGAAAACAGCAUUCUCGAUAUGCCAUGCAGAACUUGCUCGUUUUUACCUCCAUUCCGCCAUUCACCACCUCCACCACCUGGAUGCUCCCCGUCGGCUUUGCCUGCAGCCCGUUCUCCACCCAAUGCCGGGGCCCAGUCUAGCUUAGCUUGUAGCGUAGCUACUAUCUGUAAUCUCGUGGUUAGUAACUAGCUCCUGUUUUUAUGAGUCUGUGCCUUCUGUAGAAUCAUGUUCAUAAUCUUGUUAACACAUUGUGUUGUACGAAGUCAGUAUAUUUACGGAGUCUAUUACUUUGCUGUCCUGUCACUGCAUUACGUUGUCCGGGUUAGUACUUUGUUUAUAGUUUUGCGUCAUGUACUAACUAUUCAGCUUUACUCUUAUUGUGUUACGGUAUUUGAGUUAGUACUUUCUUUUCUUGAUUUUUCCCAGUUUAGGGUUUAGUUCUUGUAAGACCUCCAGUCCUUUAGGGGUCCUCUAGAGUUCUGUACUUCCUGUUCUGCUUGUGCAGUUUCUGUAAGUCACUUUAUUUAUUUGUAAUAAAUUAUUAUGCUGAAACUCUA
This is a long non-coding RNA of Amphiprion ocellaris (clown anemonefish), 1003 nucleotides long. RefSeq lists it as uncharacterized. NCBI's taxonomy places the organism in Eukaryota, Metazoa, Chordata, Actinopteri, Pomacentridae. The record is from RefSeq and is a predicted model, not a curated record. The transcript is spliced from 3 exons.